RNAcentral lists this transfer RNA (64 nucleotides) under Ceraphron sp. M247. Its description in RNAcentral is "tRNA-Phe". RNAcentral also lists the same sequence under 1 other name. The record is from RNAcentral. Lineage: Eukaryota; Metazoa; Arthropoda; Insecta; Hymenoptera; Ceraphronidae.
ACUUAAUUAGCUUAUUUGUUUAGAGUAUUAUAUUGAAGAUAUAAAGGAAAAUAUUUAUUGAGUA